This 367-nucleotide long non-coding RNA is filed under the name Accipiter nisus (Eurasian sparrowhawk). Its description in RNAcentral is "lncRNA (ENSANIG00000016670.1)". Lineage: Eukaryota; Metazoa; Chordata; Aves; Accipitriformes; Accipitridae. The record is from RNAcentral.
UGUAGCUCUGUUACUGCCAUACCAUGCACUUGCUGUUGCUGUCUGCAGGGACCCAGGUUUCUGCUGCUUUCACACCUGAGCUAAUAUGUCCACUGGGUGCUGCUCCGUGCUGCGUGGACCCAUCAGCUCAGGUACAGCUAUGGGAAAGCAGUGCAAGGGACCAUGCGAGUGACUUUGUGCCAGAAGGCAAGGAGGCAUCCUCAAAAUGCCAGCAAGGACACCUGUAGGGAAUACAGCGGUCCGACCAUGAGCAAGGGGUGCUUUACCCCUUCGGUGAGCACGUCAGUCUUCAGCCUGGCUCCCAGCGAGGAGGAUGGCAAGCUCUAUGCAGAAGCCUCUCUCCUGGAGAUGGGCACAGGUACCCGGG